GGGUUGUGAGGUUAAGCGACUAAGCGUACACGGUGGAUGCCCUGGCAGUCAGAGGCGAUGAAGGACGUGCUAAUCUGCGAUAAGCGCCGGUAAGGUGAUAUGAACCGUUAUAACCGGCGAUUUCCGAAUGGGGAAACCCAGUGUGAUUCGUCACACUAUCAUUAACUGAAUCCAUAGGUUAAUGAGGCGAACCGGGGGAACUGAAACAUCUAAGUACCCCGAGGAAAAGAAAUCAACCGAGAUUCCCCCAGUAGCGGCGAGCGAACGGGGAGGAGCCCAGAGCCUGAAUCAGCAUGUGUGUUAGUGGAAGCGUCUGGAAAGGCGCGCGAUACAGGGUGACAGCCCCGUACACAAAAGCGCAUGUGCUGUGAGCUCGAUGAGUAGGGCGGGACACGUGGUAUCCUGUCUGAAUAUGGGGGGACCAUCCUCCAAGGCUAAAUACUCCUGACUGACCGAUAGUGAACCAGUACCGUGAGGGAAAGGCGAAAAGAACCCCGGCGAGGGGAGUGAAAAAGAACCUGAAACCGUGUACGUACAAGCAGUGGGAGCACAGGUUUACCUGUGUGACUGCGUACCUUUUGUAUAAUGGGUCAGCGACUUAUAUUCUGUAGCAAGGUUAACCGUAUAGGGGAGCCGGAGGGAAACCGAGUCUUAAUUGGGCGUUAAGUUGCAGGGUAUAGACCCGAAACCCGGUGAUCUAGCCAUGGGCAGGUUGAAGGUUGGGUAACACUAACUGGAGGACCGAACCGAC
RNAcentral lists this ribosomal RNA (751 nucleotides) under Salmonella enterica subsp. enterica serovar Typhimurium. RNAcentral describes it as "partial 23S ribosomal RNA". It matches the Rfam family "Bacterial large subunit ribosomal RNA", at positions 1 to 783 of the family's 2925-position model. The record is from RNAcentral. Lineage: Bacteria; Pseudomonadati; Pseudomonadota; Gammaproteobacteria; Enterobacterales; Enterobacteriaceae.